This 774-nucleotide ribosomal RNA is filed under the name uncultured bacterium. RNAcentral's name for it is "bacterial SSU rRNA". It matches the Rfam family "Bacterial small subunit ribosomal RNA", at positions 8 to 796 of the family's 1533-position model. The record is from RNAcentral.
AGAGUUUGAUCCUGGCUCAGGACGAACGCUGGCGGCGUGCUUAACACAUGCAAGUCGAACGGUGAACUCCGCUUGCGGGGGGAUCAGUGGCGAACGGGUGAGUAACACGUGGGCAACCUGCCCCCGGCUCUGGGAUAACUCCAAGAAAUUGGGGCUAAUACCGGAUAUGACUGCUGACCGCAUGGUCUGGUGGUGGAAAGAUUUAUCGGCUGGGGAUGGGCCCGCGGCCUAUCAGCUUGUUGGUGGGGUAGUGGCCUACCAAGGCGACGACGGGUAGCCGGCCUGAGAGGGUGACCGGCCACACUGGGACUGAGACACGGCCCAGACUCCUACGGGAGGCAGCAGUGGGGAAUAUUGCGCAAUGGGCGGAAGCCUGACGCAGCGACGCCGCGUGGGGGAUGACGGCCUUCGGGUUGUAAACCUCUUUCAGCAGGGACGAAGCGGAAGUGACGGUACCUGCAGAAGAAGCACCGGCCAACUACGUGCCAGCAGCCGCGGUAAUACGUAGGGUGCAAGCGUUGUCCGGAAUUAUUGGGCGUAAAGAGCUCGUAGGCGGUCUGUCACGUCGGCUGUGAAAUCCCGAGGCUCAACCUCGGGUCUGCAGUCGAUACGGGCAAACUAGAGUGUUGCAGGGGAGACUGGAAUUCCUGGUGUAGCGGUGAAAUGCGCAGAUAUCAGGAGGAACACCGGUGGCGAAGGCGGGUCUCUGGGCAACAACUGACGCUGAGGAGCGAAAGCGUGGGGAGCGAACAGGAUUAGAUACCCUAGUAGUCC